RNAcentral lists this ribosomal RNA (468 nucleotides) under uncultured bacterium. RNAcentral describes it as "partial 16S ribosomal RNA". It matches the Rfam family "Bacterial small subunit ribosomal RNA", at positions 28 to 507 of the family's 1533-position model. The record is from RNAcentral.
GACGAACGCUGGCGGCGUGCUUAACACAUGCAAGUCGAACGGAAAGGCCCUGCUUUUGUGGGGUGCUCGAGUGGCGAACGGGUGAGUAACACGUGAGUAACCUGCCCUUGACUUUGGGAUAACUUCAGGAAACUGGGGCUAAUACCGGAUAGGAGCUCCUGCUGCAUGGUGGGGGUUGGAAAGUUUCGGCGGUUGGGGAUGGACUCGCGGCUUAUCAGCUUGUUGGUGGGGUAGUGGCUUACCAAGGCUUUGACGGGUAGCCGGCCUGAGAGGGUGACCGGCCACAUUGGGACUGAGAUACGGCCCAGACUCCUACGGGAGGCAGCAGUGGGGAAUAUUGCACAAUGGGCGGAAGCCUGAUGCAGCAACGCCGCGUGCGGGAUGACGGCCCUCGGGUUGUAAACCGCUUUAGCCUGUGACGAAGCGUGAGUGACGGUAAUGGGUAAAGAAGCACCGGCUAACUACGUG